UGAAAACUGAUGACGAAGAAAAGUAGCUUUACCCCACAGGGUUAGAGAUGAGAUACCAUGGCUGAAAGUAUCUCUCCCUGAUGAUAAAGUGAAAGACACUUCAUAGGUUUUAAUUCGAACGGUUAAGUUUUGACCUCAGUAGAGUUACACGUGGGCAAUCGUUACUUGCAUAAAUGAGGAAGCUAUUUUUAGCUUCGAAGCAGGGUGGCACCGCGGGAAAUCCCGUCCCUUAU
This 233-nucleotide non-coding RNA is filed under the name Fictibacillus phosphorivorans. Its description in RNAcentral is "T-box sequence". It matches the Rfam family "T-box leader". From Rfam's summary of the family: Uncharged tRNA acts as the effector for transcription antitermination of genes in the T-box leader family. The record is from RNAcentral. Lineage: Bacteria; Bacillati; Bacillota; Bacilli; Caryophanales; Fictibacillaceae.